This 460-nucleotide ribosomal RNA is filed under the name uncultured bacterium. RNAcentral describes it as "partial 16S ribosomal RNA". It matches the Rfam family "Bacterial small subunit ribosomal RNA", at positions 338 to 795 of the family's 1533-position model. The record is from RNAcentral.
CCUACGGGAGGCAGCAGUGAGGAAUAUUGGUCAAUGGCCGGAAGUCUGAACCAGCCAAGUCGCGUGAAGGAAGAAGGCUCUAUGAUUUGUAAACUUCUUUUAUAGAGGGAUAAAGGUAUACACGUGUGUUUAUUUGCAUGUACUCUAUGAAUAAGCAUCGGCUAACUCCGUGCCAGCAGCCGCGGUAAUACGGAGGAUGCGAGCGUUAUCCGGAUUUAUUGGGUUUAAAGGGUGCGUAGGUUGUUUGUUAAGUUAGCGGUGAAAGUUUGGGGCUCAACCAGAAAAUUGCCGUUGAUACUGGAAGACUUGAGUGUGUUUGAGGUAGGCGGAAUGUGUGGUGUAGCGGUGAAAUGCAUAGAUAUCAUGCAGAACACAGAUUGCGAAGGCAGCUUACUAAGCUAUAACUGACACUGAAGCACGAAAGCGUGGGGAGCAAACAGGAUUAGAUACCCUUGUAGUC